Non-coding RNA from Biomphalaria pfeifferi, 775 nucleotides. The record is from the annotation of a GenBank genome assembly. NCBI's taxonomy places the organism in Eukaryota, Metazoa, Mollusca, Gastropoda, Planorbidae.
UUUUAGGUGUUUCAUUAGAAUAACACACUUUUGUCGAGGCUAGGAAGUAAAGUUCCUCUUUCACACCUUGUGAUCUUUAGGACAGAGAUGUAAAGGUCAUCUGUUUUUGUGGCCUUUACUUUUCCCAAACUAAUGCAUGGUACCCACUAAAGCUGGGUGGACUCAAAAGUGCUCUAAAGACACCAUAAUUAAAAAUCCCAGUCUUCACCAGGAGUUCGAGCUAGGGAGCCCCAGUUUGGAAGCAGUGCGCUUUACCACUCUGCCCCCGUGUUUGUCCAGGCUACUUAACUUGAUUCAUUCAUUCGUAUCAAAUGUGUGCAUGAAUUUAAAAACAAAAUAUAUAAGUAUCUAGAAUUUCCAAUUGCAUAUAUUUGCAAAGUAAAGUUCAAUCAACUUGUUCAUCUCAUGUGAGCGUUAAAAUAGAAAUGAAUUUACAUAUUGAAAAAAACAAACAUGAUACCUCAUCAUCUUAAUCUUAACAUGUCUUUCCAUUUCUCAUGAACAUUGAUGAUCGAUUCAACCUGUGAACCAUUGUUAUAUAAUUUAUCUACAUUACACAUUACUACCUAAGUGUAGUUUGGUGGAAAUGCACACAUGUAAUCUCCCUAUCAAUAUUGAGAAUAAUGCAGAUAUCUGCUAUCCAUAUAGGCCUAUACAAGGUAUAUGUCAAUGAAGGAUUGUACCGUUUUAAGACUCAGAAAAAGUGCUCUUGUUUCUGCUACUUUCAAUUACUUUCCUUGGAUUUUAAAACUCAUUCUUUCUAUAGGAUUUUUUA